RNAcentral lists this long non-coding RNA (5507 nucleotides) under Malus domestica (apple). RNAcentral's name for it is "long non-coding RNA (MDOM_LNC012302)". Lineage: Eukaryota; Viridiplantae; Streptophyta; Magnoliopsida; Rosales; Rosaceae. The record is from RNAcentral.
AUUAAAUCCAUCAUGCAAUGCAUUUCCUUCCAAUUUUUUGUGAUAAACUAAUAGAUAAUUGACUAAAUAAACAUCUUGCAAAGUUUCAAUAAAAAUUUCCAAGUUUUUCUUACAAUUUCCGUGGUUUCCAUAUUAUUUUUAUCGAUAUUGAUAAUAUCCCGAUAUUUCCAUCGAUAUUUCCGUGUUUUUGGACUACCGAUAUUUCCGAUAUCAUCGAUAUUUAAUACCUUGCCUACCGCUAUUGCCACCAACCAGGUGGUGAAAUGUACAACCCGUACUCUAAUAUCAUUUGGCAACUAGCCAUUCAUGCCACCAACCAGGUGAUGAAAUGUACAACCCGUACUCUCCUUCAUGCCACCAACCAGGUGAUCAAAAGUAUACUCAGUACUCCAAAUUAUACAUGAGCAUUACUCAUGUCAUUCAUACAUAAACAUUCAUGAGCAUCACUCAUGACAAUCAUACAUAAACAUUCAUGACCAUCAUUCAUGUCAACAUUCAUGAGCAUCACUCAUGUUAACAUUCAUGAGCAUCACUCAUGACAACAUCCAUAAUCAUCACUCAUGUCAAUCAACAUAAACACUCAUGUCAAUCAGCUUCAAAAGCUUCAUUUACAGAGCUCUAGCCUCAAAAGCGUCAUUUACAGAGCUUUAGCUUCAAAGCUUCACUUGCAAAGCUUCACCUACAAAGCUUCAGUGCAGGGCAUACAAAUACCGCAUCCGAACAACUGCCACUUCGGCCCAUACAUGGAUUCAAUUUAAAGUCUCCAGCCAACAAACUCUAUUGACCGAAGACUUGGGGGACUACAUUAUGUACCAUAUAUUGGGCCUCAACUAGGCCUCAUGAAAAAUACUUGGGGGACUUAGCCCAUUAUUUAUGUAUUAAGGAGCGAGCUCUUAUUCUAUAAAAGGGACUCCCUCACUUUCAUUAGAGAGCACCCAUUAUUAAUGUACUGAGGAGCGAGCCCUUAUUUUAUAAAAGAGACUCCCUCACCUUCAUUAGAGAGCAACGCCGCCAGCUGAGCAAUCGCAUUGCCGCGAGCAUCACUCCGAACCCAUCACUUAUGUAUUGAGUAGCGAGCCCUUAUUCUAUAAAAGGGACUUCCUCACUACUAUUAGAGAGCAUCGCCGCCUAUUGAGCAACCGCCUCGCCGCGAGCAUCAACUCCAGCCCAUCAUUUAUGUAUUGAGGAGCGAGCCCUUAUUCUAUAAAAAGAACCUCUUCACUUUCAACGCCACAAGCCGAGCCAACCAAUGCAACAUAAACCACGAGCUGAGUAGCCUCACAACAUGUGUUACUUCUAGUUGAGCAUCAUUUCAGAUUCAGCACCGCCUCAUAUCGAACAUCAGUUCAAGACGACAUCUAGUUACUUCGACCCACACAUGGACUGAAUUUCAAGUCUCCAGCCAAAAGACUCUCUUGACUGAAGACUUGGGGGAUUACUGUUUAUACCAUAUUUAGGGCCUCGUAUUUAGAUCUCGUACAAAUACUCGGAGGACUUAAAUGUAAUUAUGUGAUAAAGGAAGGGGCAAAUAUAUAAUAAGUGAGGAGUCCUAAUUCUAUAAAAGGACCCCUCACCCUCACAAUUAGAGAAGGCCAUUUCCAGAGCCUUCUCACCCCUCUCACAUCUCCUUUCAUGACAGAGGGUUUCUCCCUUACCUCUCAGAUAAAUACAUAUUUAGUGUGGACGUAGCCCAAACCUUGGGGUGAACCACGAUACAUCUUGUGUUAUUUACAUUUCAUGCAAAUUCACGGUUGGAUUUACAUUGUACCAAGACCUUCAGUUUUGUGCAUCAACAUUUACAGAUCCACGGUUGUUGGAAAAAAAAUGAAAGAGAACCGACAUGAUUUUUUGUGUCAAUUCCCACAGACGGCGCCAAAUGUUGAUGCACAAAACCGGAGGUCUUGGUACAACAUAAAUCCGACCGUGAAUCUGCAUGAAAUGUAAAUAACACAAAAUGUAUCGUGGUUCACCCCAAGGUUUGGGCUACGUCCAAAUUGAAUAUGUAUUUAUCUGAGAGGUAAGGGAGAUAACUUCUGUCAUGAGAGGAAAUGUGAGAGGGGUGAGAAGGCUUCGGAAAUGGCCUUUUCUAAUUGUGAGGGUGAGAAGGCUCCGGAAAGGGCUCGUUCAUACCCAUCACUUAUGUAUUGAGGAGCGAACCCUUAUUCUAUAAAAAGGACUCCCUCACCACCAUUAGAGAGCAUCGCCGCCUAUUGAGCAACCGACUCGCCGUGAGCAUCAACUCUAGCCCAUCAUUUAUGUAUUGAGGAGCAAGCCCUUAUUCUAUAAAAGGGACUCUCUCAUCUUCAAGCGCCACAAGCCGAGACAACCAAGGGAACAUAAGCCACAAGCCAAACAGCCUUGCAACAUGUGCUACUUAUAGUUGAGCAUCAUUUCACUUUGAGCACCACCUCGCAUCAAGUACCAGUUCAAGAUGACAUCUAGUUACUUCGACCCACACAUGGACUGAAUUUCAAGUCUCCAGCCAAAAGACUAUCUUGACUGAAGACUUGGGGGACUACUGUUUAUACCAUAUUUAGGGCCUCGUAUUUAGAUCUCGUACAAAUACUCGGGGGACUUAAAUGUAAUUAUGUGAUAAAGAAAUGGGCAAAUAUGUAAUAAGUGAGGAGUCCUUAUUCUAUAAAAGGACCCAUCACCCUCAUAAUUAGAUGAGGCCAAUUCCUAGGCCUUCUCACCCCUCUCAAAGCUCUCACUCUCAGAGCUCUCUCUCCCUCAGAUAAAUACAUAUCAGUGUGGACGUAGCCCAAACCUUAGGGUGAACCACGAUACAUCUUUUGUUAUUUACAUUUCUUGCAGAUUCACGGUCGGAUUUACGUUGUUCCAAGACCUCCGGUUUUGUGCAUCAACAUUUGGCGCCGUUUGUGGGAAACAAUAUGAAAAGUUAUGUAAGAUCUCUUUCAUUUUUUUCACCUCCGCCGUGAAUCUGUAGAAACUUGGGAUCAAAAUCUACGCUCCUUCCGCAUCGCCGUUGAAAUCAACCCAAUUCAUUAAGUUCCAAUUCUCACCUGUUUCUGUGAGGUUCAUAAAAUGAGAAGAUGUGGAAGCAAAUCUCUCAGAGCUCAAAAGAAAAGUGGACUCAUCAUUGCAAAUCUCUACUCGCGAGAUCAUACAGGGCUCCCUGUCGCCGUGCCUUAACGGAGCCUACAUUCUAUUAAUCCCCGAACCUGCAGCUCGUGGGCCCUACACCUGAUACUUCACUCUGUUAGGAUCUCUGGAGGCCGGGCGAUACUCUGCAGCAGAUACGUCAACACCGAUCCUCUGUGCACAGUUGAGCGCAUUACAGAGCUCUAUUCUUCCCAACGUCUUCUCCGGCUUUAACAGACUCACUCGACCCGAUGAGGUUAGAUCUUCGAAGCCAAUAACGCAUUUUGGUGCCAGAGAAAAUUGGUAGGGAUGAGCUUGGGAUGUAGGAUUUAAAAUACGUUCUCGACCCGAUGAGACCGCCGCACGGCCAAAACCCCAAGAACCCACAUUAGCAGAGGCGCCGAUUGCACCACUAAAGUCAGGCCUAAUUCUAAAGCUCGUGCUCUUCUUCUCAGUCCCAUACUUUUACCUCCUCUUCUAUCACUACAAGAGAUUUCCCUAAAGAUUUUGUGUCAGAGCUUAAGAAUUACUCACAUUCAUAAAGAAAGGAUCAAAGUUGGAGUGGGAAGAAUGCUGGAGGCAAAGCUCUGUGGUUCUCAAAUUCUAUCGCCUUUUCACAAAGAAAGUGGGGAUGAGGAACUUUCAGUUUUUCCCAGGCACACAAAGGUUAUUGUCGCUGGAAACAAUAGAACCAAGUCUAUUUUGGUGGGUCUUCAAGGGGUGGUCAAGAAAGCUGAUGGACUUAGGGGUUGGCACUGGCUGAGUUUUGGGUAAGGAGCAGACUUGUAAAAUUGAGAGAAAGCAGGUCACCACGUGGUGCAGCCGGAGCCGCUGAUGGUUCCGAGAUCUGGGAGCUUGAGGCUACCCAAGGUGCUAUCGCCGCUGAAGAGGGGUCCAGAGAUUCGAACUGGAUUUCAACAUUAAACCCUCCAUCUUUUCCAAACCUGCCCCAUUUUGUUUUGUAUUAAAAAAUCCCUUGAAAUAUGUGAAGGCAGAAGAUAAGUUUUUUUUUUUCCUUUUUCUUUUUCUUUAUUAUUGAUGAUAUGAUGACUGUCUGCCAUCUGCCAGCCAAAAGAAAGAAAAACAAGGAUGGAAGAAAUAAACAACCAAGAAACUGGAGUCCAAAUCCGAAAAGAAGGAUUCCAACACUUCGUCCCUCCAGAAAAAGCUUCAAGAUUCGGUCUUUUCCAACAAAAAGACAUGCCCUCGGACAACGCAAAAAGAAAAAAAAGAAAAGGGAGACCACCAGUAAAGCUACAGGAAAAGAAACAAAAGCAGAAAAGAAAAGAGAAAGCAAAAGCAAGGAAUAAACACCCCACCGGAAUGAUGUGAUUUACUUUUCUGGUUUUUGUAUGAUGUAAUUUAUUUUUCUUAUCUUUCAGAGACAUCUGUAUAAACCCCAUCAGAGGGUAAAAAAAAAAAAAAAACGGCAAAGCCCAAAAUAAAUGGGCUAGAAUGUUGUGUAGAGGGUGAAGGCCCAUAAGCCUAAAAUAGCUCCAACCAGGCGAUCAAAAGUACGCCCAAUACUCCACAAUUAUUCGAUAACCUGCCGCUAUUACCACCAACCAGGUGAUCAAAAGUACGCUCAGUACUCCAAAAUUAUUCGGCAACCUGCUGCUAUUACCACCAACCAGGUGAUGAAAUGUACGACCCGUACUCUAAUAUCAUUUGGCAAUUAGCCAUUCAUGCCACCAACCAGGUGAUCAAAAGUACGUCCAGUACUCCAAAUUAUACAUGAGCAUUACUCAUGUCAUUCAUACAUAAACAUUCAUGAGCAUCACUCAUGAUAAUCAUACAUAAACAUUCAUGAGCAUCAUUCAUGUCAACAUUCAUAAGCAUCACUUAUGUUAACAUUCAUGAGCAUCACUCAUGACAACAUCGAUGAGCAUCACUCAUGUCAGUCAACAUAAACAUUCAUGAGCAUCACUCAUGUCAAUCAGCUUCAAAAAGCUUCAUUUAUAGAGCUCUAACUUCAAAAACUUCAUUUAUAGAGCUCUAGCUUCAAAAGCUUCAUUUACAAAAGCUCCAGCUUCGAAAGCUUCAUUUACAGAGCUCUAGCUUUAAAGCUUCACUUGCAAAGCUUCACCUACCAAGCUUCAGUGCAGGGUAUACAAAUAUCGCCUCUGAACAACCGCCACUUCGGCCCAUACAUGGAUUCAAUUUGAAGUCUCCAUCCAACAGACUCUAUUGACCGAAAACUUAGGGGACUACAUUAUGUACCAUAUAUUGGGCCUUAUGAAAAAUACUUGGGGGACUUAGCCCAUUAUUUAUGUAUUAAGGAGCGAGCCCUUAUUCUAUAAAAGUGACUCCUUCACUUUCAUUAGAGAGCACCCAUUAUUCAUGUACUGAGGAGCGAGCCCUUAUUUUAUAAAAGGGACUCCCUCACCUUCAUUAGAGAGCAACGC